Molecule: ribosomal RNA, 536 nt
Filed under: Serratia marcescens
Lineage: Bacteria; Pseudomonadati; Pseudomonadota; Gammaproteobacteria; Enterobacterales; Yersiniaceae
Description: bacterial SSU rRNA
Rfam family: Bacterial small subunit ribosomal RNA
Source: RNAcentral
UUUGAGUUUGAUCGUGGCUCAGAUUUAGCGCUGGCGGCAGGCUUAACACAGUGCAAGUCGAGCGGUAGCACAGGGGGAAGCUUGCUCCCUGGGUGACGAGCGGCGGACGGGUGAGUAAUGUCUGGGAAACUGCCUGAUGGAGGGGGAUAACUACUGGAAACGGUAGCUAAUACCGCAUAACGUCGCAAGACCAAAGAGGGGGACCUUCGGGCCUCUUGCCAUCAGAUGUGCCCAGAUGGGAUUAGCUAGUAGGUGGGGUAAUGGCUCACCUAGGCGACGAUCCCUAGCUGGUCUGAGAGGAUGACCAGCCACACUGGAACUGAGACACGGUCCAGACUCCUACGGGAGGCAGCAGUGGGGAAUAUUGCACAAUGGGCGCAAGCCUGAUGCAGCCAUGCCGCGUGUGUGAAGAAGGCCUUCGGGUUGUAAAGCACUUUCAGCGAGGAGGAAGGUGGUGAACUUAAUACGUUCAUCAAUUGACGUUACUCGCAGAAGAAGCACCGGCUAACUCCGUGCCAGCCGCCGCCGUAACACAA